UUGGAGGGCAAGUCUGGUGCCAGCAGCCGCGGUAAUUCCAGCUCCAAUAGCGUAUAUUAAAGUUGUUGCAGUUAAAAAGCUCGUAGUUGAAUUUCGGGGUCAGUAGGUUGGUCGUGCCAUUGGUAUGUACUGGCCUUACUGAUUCCUCCUUCUUGAAGAACUGUGAUGUCAUUUACUUGGUGUUGCAGGGAAACAGGACUGUUACUUUGAAAAAAUUAGAGUGUUUAAAGCAGGCUAACGCUUGAAUACAUUAGCAUGGAAUAAUGAAAUAGGACGUUUGAUCCUAUUUUGUUGGUUUCUAGGAUUGACGUAAUGAUUAAUAGGGAUAGUUGGGGGCAUUAGUAUUCAAUUGUCAGAGGUGAAAUUCUUGGAUUUAUUGAAGACUAACUACUGCGAAAGCAUUUGCCAAGGAUGUUUUCAUUAAUCAAGAACGAAAGUUAGGGGAUCGAAGACGAUCAGAUACCGUCGUAGUCUUAACCAUAAACUAUGCCGACUAGGGAUCGGAUGAUGUUAAUUUUUUAAUGACUCAUUCGGCGCCUUACGGGAAAC
This 549-nucleotide ribosomal RNA is filed under the name uncultured Glomeromycotina. RNAcentral describes it as "SSU rRNA". It matches the Rfam family "Eukaryotic small subunit ribosomal RNA", at positions 548 to 1098 of the family's 1831-position model. Lineage: Eukaryota; Fungi; Glomeromycota. The record is from RNAcentral.